AUUGAACGCUGGCGGCAUGCCUUACACAUGCAAGUCGAACGGCAGCCCGGGAGCAAUUCUGGUGGCGAGUGGCGAACGGGUGAGUAAAGUAUCGGAACGUGCCCAGUCGUGGGGGAUAACGUAGCGAAAGUUACGCUAAUACCGCAUACGAUCUAUGAAUGAAAGCGGGGGAUCGCAGGACCUCGCGCGAUUGGAGCGGCCGAUAUCAGAUUAGGUAGUUGGUGGGGUAAAGGCUCACCAAGCCGACGAUCUGUAGCUGGUCUGAGAGGACGACCAGCCACACUGGGACUGAGACACGGCCCAGACUCCUACGGGAGGCAGCAGUGGGGAAUUUUGGACAAUGGGCGCAAGCCUGAUCCAGCCAUGCCGCGUGCAGGAUGAAGGCCUUCGGGUUGUAAACUGCUUUUGUACGGAACGAAAAGGUUUGACUUAAUACGUUGGACUCAUGACGGUACCGUAAGAAUAAGCACCGGCUAACUACGUGCCAGCAGCCGCGGUAA
RNAcentral lists this ribosomal RNA (500 nucleotides) under uncultured bacterium. Its description in RNAcentral is "partial 16S ribosomal RNA". It matches the Rfam family "Bacterial small subunit ribosomal RNA", at positions 30 to 523 of the family's 1533-position model. The record is from RNAcentral.